RNAcentral lists this ribosomal RNA (316 nucleotides) under uncultured Lachnospiraceae bacterium. RNAcentral describes it as "partial 16S ribosomal RNA". The record is from RNAcentral. Lineage: Bacteria; Bacillati; Bacillota; Clostridia; Lachnospirales; Lachnospiraceae.
GGAGUCUGGGCCGUGUCUCAGUCCCAAUGUGGCCGUUCAACCUCUCAGUCCGGCUACUGAUCGUUGCCUUGGUGGGCCGUUACCUCACCAACCAGCUAAUCAGACGCGAGCCCAUCUUUCAGCGAUAAAUCUUUGAUAUUAAUACGAUGCCGUAUCAAUAUGUUAUGAGGUAUUACCAUCCGUUUCCAGAAGCUAUCCCUCUCUGAAAGGCAGGUUGCUCACGUGUUACUCACCCGUCCGCCACUAAGUUUAAAAGAGCAAGCUCUCUUAAACUCCGUUCGACUUGCAUGUGUUAGGCGUGCCGCCAGCGUUCAUC